This 253-nucleotide ribosomal RNA is filed under the name uncultured bacterium. RNAcentral describes it as "partial 16S ribosomal RNA". It matches the Rfam family "Bacterial small subunit ribosomal RNA", at positions 524 to 776 of the family's 1533-position model. The record is from RNAcentral.
UACAGAGGUCUCAAGCGUUGUUCGGAAUCACUGGGCGUAAAGGGUGCGUAGGCGGUUGUUUAAGUCUGUCGUGAAAUCCCCGGGCUCAACCUGGGAAUGGCGAUGGAUACUGGGCAGCUAGAGUGUGUCAGAGGAUGGUGGAAUUCCCGGUGUAGCGGUGAAAUGCGUAGAGAUCGGGAGGAAGGCCGGUGGCGAAGGCGGCGCUCUGGAACGUUUCUGACACUGAGGCUCGAAAGCGUGGGGAGCAAACAGG